This 791-nucleotide long non-coding RNA is filed under the name Musa acuminata (dwarf banana). RNAcentral's name for it is "long non-coding RNA (MACU_LNC002746)". The record is from RNAcentral. Lineage: Eukaryota; Viridiplantae; Streptophyta; Magnoliopsida; Zingiberales; Musaceae.
CCCUUGAAACUAUUUGACAUGUCCAUCUAUUGAUUUCUGACAAGGAACAUAAGAACACUUAAUAUCAUCACCAUGCAUUUCCAGUUAACUAACAUGAAUAUGUCAUGGUUGGGGCAUCCAAUGAACACCCCUGUCAUAUAAAGAUCGCACAUAAAACCCAAAAGAAAAACCAAAAAUCUGUUCAGAUCCAAAAGAAGAUCCCACAGAGGAUAUGGUUUCCAAGCCCCUUACCAACUUCAUCAUCUCAGGUAGAGUGGGAGGAAACCAGCAUUAGAGACCAUUUGUUGUACAGAAACUCUCCCAUGUGGCAUGCACCCACAACGGCCAUCAUUGUCCACAAUCGUGCUCGCAAUAUGCGAGCCAAGCCACCUUUUCCUUCCCAGUUUCUGCCCAGGGCAACAGCCCAACCAAUCAAACUGAGUUAGCAUGAGACUGAACCAUCCAAUAUGAUAAGCAGAUGCAAGCUUAAGAUUCUUGUUUCAUGAUUUCACAAUCAGAUGACAGUCAUCGAAUAUAUCCUAAGCCGGACAGCAGCAUAUCUGUCCAAUUUGGACUUUGUCCAAGGGCCAGGCCAACAAACCACAUGUAAUCCUCUUCUACUAAAGAACAUUGUCUGCUUUUCUUAUCAUUCCAAUAAUUAGGUUAUCUCUUUAGUUCAAUUGAUCUCUUGUAAGCCUAGUUUUCUUUCUGAAACCAGAGAAGCACGGAUUAGGGAGUUUAAUUCCUAAUAAUUUGGUAUCUAACAAAGUUUAAGACAAUCAACACCAACCUAAAAGAAUAUCAUAUUGUUC